RNAcentral lists this signal recognition particle RNA (259 nucleotides) under Otolemur garnettii (small-eared galago). RNAcentral's name for it is "Metazoan signal recognition particle RNA (ENSOGAG00000024869.1)". It matches the Rfam family "Metazoan signal recognition particle RNA". From Rfam's summary of the family: The signal recognition particle (SRP) is a universally conserved ribonucleoprotein. It is involved in the co-translational targeting of proteins to membranes. Lineage: Eukaryota; Metazoa; Chordata; Mammalia; Primates; Galagidae. The record is from RNAcentral.
GUCAGGCGUUGUGGUGGGCGCCUGUGGUCCCAGCUACUUGGGAGGCUGAGGCAGGAGACUCGCUUGAGCCCAGGAGUUGGAGGUUGCUGUGAGCUGUGAUGCCAUAGCACUCUACCCAGGGGGAUAACUUGAGGCUCUGUCUCAAAAAAAAAAAAAGAAACAGAACAGAGCCUCAAGCUGUCAGCCUGGGUAGAGUGCUGUGGCAUCAUCACAGCUCACAGCAACCUCCAACUCCUGGGCUCAAGCGAUUCUCCUGCCU